GUCACGCCCGAAGUCGUUACCCCAACCGUAAGGGGGGGGAUGCCUAAGGUAGGACUGAUGACUGGGGUGAAGUCGUAACAAGGUAGCCGUACCGGAAGGUGUGGCUGGAUCACCUCCUUUUAGGGAGACCUAAUCCAUUUAGAAAUCGAAAACAAUGAAAAUUGUCAAUAGAAACUAAAGUGGUCUAACCUAGGUCGUUCGAGAUUGGUAGAUAUCUUUCAAAGUAUUAUUCGGCUUCGUUCAAAACCAUAUAUAAAUGGAAAAAGACAGCACCUAAUUGUCAAAGUUAGACUGCUGGAUGAAAUUCCAGCCAGAACCUUGAAAACUGCAUAAGAGAACGAGAAAAAGCAGGCAGACACAGACAUUUAGAUGGAUGUGGAAGCAAAAGAAAUUGUGGUCAAGCUAAUAAGGGCUAAUGGUGGAUACCUAGGCACACAGAGGAAGGGC
This 447-nucleotide unclassified non-coding RNA is filed under the name uncultured Nostocaceae cyanobacterium. RNAcentral's name for it is "partial contains 16S ribosomal RNA and 16S-23S ribosomal RNA intergenic spacer". The stretch from base 1 to 120 matches the Rfam family "Bacterial small subunit ribosomal RNA", at positions 1414 to 1533 of the family's 1533-position model. Lineage: Bacteria; Bacillati; Cyanobacteriota; Cyanophyceae; Nostocales; Nostocaceae. The record is from RNAcentral.